Molecule: ribosomal RNA, 492 nt
Filed under: uncultured bacterium
Lineage: Bacteria
Description: partial 16S ribosomal RNA
Rfam family: Bacterial small subunit ribosomal RNA
Source: RNAcentral
AGUGAACGCUGGCGGCAGGCCUAACACAUGCAAGUCGAACGGCAGCACAGUAAGAGCUUGCUCUUACGGGUGGCGAGUGGCGGACGGGUGAGGAAUACAUCGGAAUCUACUUUUUCGUGGGGGAUAACGUAGGGAAACUUACGCUAAUACCGCAUACGACCUACGGGUGAAAGUAGGGGAUCUUCGGACCUUGCGCGAUUGAAUGAGCCGAUGUCGGAUUAGCUAGUUGGCGGGGUAAAGGCCCACCAAGGCGACGAUCCGUAGCUGGUCUGAGAGGAUGAUCAGCCACACUGGAACUGAGACACGGUCCAGACUCCUACGGGAGGCAGCAGUGGGGAAUAUUGGACGAUGGGCGCAAGCCUGAUCCAGCCAUACCGCGUGGGUGAAGAAGGCCUUCGGGUUGUAAAGCCCUUUUGUUGGGAAAGAAAAGCAGCAGGUUAAUACCCCGCUGUUCUGACGGUACCCAAAGAAUAAGCACCGGCUAACUUCGUG